UCUGCCUUUCACAUAGGGAUAGCCCGAAGAAAUUUGGAUUAAUACCUAAUGGCAUAUAGGUGUGGCAUCACAUUUAUAUUAAAGCUGAGGCGGUGAAAGAUGAGUAUGCGUUCUAUUAGCUAGUUGGAGAGGUAACGGCUCCCCAAGGCUACGAUAGAUAGGGGUUCUGAGAGGGAUAUCCCCCACACUGGUACUGAGAUACGGACCAGACUCCUACGGGAGGCAGCAGUGAGGAAUAUUGGACAAUGGUCGGAAGACUGAUCCAGCCAUGCCGCGUGCAGGAAGACGGCCUUAUGGGUUGUAAACUGCUUUUGCAGGGGAAGAAUAAGGACUACGAGUAGUUUGAUGACGGUACUCUGCGAAUAAGCAUCGGCUAACUCCGUGCCAGCAGCCGCGGUAAUACGGAGGAUGCGAGCGUUAUCCGGAAUCAUUGGGUUUAAAGGGUCCGUAGGCGGGCUAAUAAGUCAGAGGUGAAAGCGCUCAGCUCAACUGAGCAACUGCCUUUGAAACUGUUAGUCUUGAAUGAUUGUGAAGUAGUUGGAAUGUGUAGUGUAGCGGUGAAAUGC
RNAcentral lists this ribosomal RNA (566 nucleotides) under uncultured bacterium. RNAcentral's name for it is "bacterial SSU rRNA". It matches the Rfam family "Bacterial small subunit ribosomal RNA", at positions 125 to 689 of the family's 1533-position model. The record is from RNAcentral.